UACGUAGGGGGCAAGCGUUGUCCGGAAUCACUGGGCGUAAAGCGCACGUAGGCGGCUUUCUAAGUCAGGGGUGAAAUCCUGGAGCUCAACUCCAGAACUGCCUUUGAUACUGGAGAGCUUGAGUCCGGGAGAGGUGAGUGGAACUCCGAGUGUAGAGGUGAAAUUCGUAGAUAUUCGGAAGAACACCAGUGGCGAAGGCGGCUCACUGGCCCGGUACUGACGCUGAGGUGCGAAAGCGUGGGGAGCAAACAGGG
Molecule: ribosomal RNA, 254 nt
Filed under: uncultured bacterium
Lineage: Bacteria
Description: partial 16S ribosomal RNA
Rfam family: Bacterial small subunit ribosomal RNA
Source: RNAcentral